CUUAAUAUUGUAUUUAGCAAACCAAAUCCAUUGAUGCUAAUUUUUAACCUAAAGAAAAAAGGUGUAAGCAAAAGGUCCUGAUACUGAUUCAUUGGAAGCAUUGCGUCCAGUAUGGUGCAGGCUCUUGAAUGUGCGACACGUUAAACAUAGGUUAGCUCCUUCAUGCCACCCACAUCACCUCAUCACCUUUUUCUCUUUCAGUUUAUCAUGAUUGUGGACAUUCCGGUGAGAUAUCUUAGGCUAGAUAUAUGACAUUAUAAGGGGUUUGGUUUGUUAUGAGGUGAAAUUUUGGGUAAAUUAGAUAAAGUGGCCGUUUCUAAAAAAUAAUUAUGGAUUUAAGUCGUUUUUUUUAAUUUAAAGAAAUGGAUUAAUUUUUAAG
Molecule: long non-coding RNA, 379 nt
Filed under: Gossypium barbadense (sea-island cotton)
Lineage: Eukaryota; Viridiplantae; Streptophyta; Magnoliopsida; Malvales; Malvaceae
Description: long non-coding RNA (GBAR_LNC004427)
Source: RNAcentral